GAUGAACGCUAGCGGCAGGCUUAAUACAUGCAAGUCGAACGGCAAGGACUUUCGGGUCCCUAGAGUGGCGCACGGGUGAGUAACACGUACACAACAUACCCUAUAUUGGAGGAUAGCCUUGGGAAACUGGGGGUAAUAUUCCAUAGUAUUUAUUGGAGGCAUCUCUGAUAAAUUAAAGAGCAAUCGAUAUAGGAUUGGUGUGCGUCCCAUUAGCUAGUUGGUAGGGUAACGGCCUACCAAGGCUACGAUGGGUAGCUGGCGUGAGAGCGCGACCAGCCACACUGGAACUGAGACACGGUCCAGACUCCUACGGGAGGCAGCAGUAGGGAAUAUUGGACAAUGGAGGCAACUCUGAUCCAGCCAUGCCGCGUGGAGGAUGACUGCCCUCUGGGUUGUAAACUCCUUUUGUUCAGGAAGAAACCUCCUCAUUUAUGAGUGAGCUGACGGUACUGUAAGAAUAAGCACCGGCUAACUCCGUGCCAGCAGCCGCGGUAAU
This 496-nucleotide ribosomal RNA is filed under the name uncultured bacterium. Its description in RNAcentral is "bacterial SSU rRNA". It matches the Rfam family "Bacterial small subunit ribosomal RNA", at positions 28 to 524 of the family's 1533-position model. The record is from RNAcentral.